This 484-nucleotide ribosomal RNA is filed under the name uncultured bacterium. Its description in RNAcentral is "partial 16S ribosomal RNA". It matches the Rfam family "Bacterial small subunit ribosomal RNA", at positions 28 to 507 of the family's 1533-position model. The record is from RNAcentral.
AUUGAACGCUGGCGGCAUGCUUUACACAUGCAAGUCGAACGGCAGCGCGGGCUUCGGCCUGGCGGCGAGUGGCGAACGGGUGAGUAAUGCAUCGGAACGUGCCCAGUAGUGGGGGAUAGCCCGGCGAAAGCCGGAUUAAUACCGCAUACGACCUGAGGGUGAAAGCGGGGGGCCGAAAGGCCUCGCGCUAUUGGAGCGGCCGAUGUCGGAUUAGCUAGUUGGUGGGGUAAAGGCUUACCAAGGCGACGAUCCGUAGCUGGUCUGAGAGGACGACCAGCCACACUGGGACUGAGACACGGCCCAGACUCCUACGGGAGGCAGCAGUGGGGAAUUUUGGACAAUGGGGGCAACCCUGAUCCAGCCAUGCCGCGUGCGGGAAGAAGGCCUUCAGGUUGUAAACCGCUUUUGUUCGGGAAGAAAUCCUCUGGGCUAAUACCCCGGGGGGAUGACGGUACCGGAAGAAUAAGCACCGGCUAACUACGUG